This 88-nucleotide microRNA precursor is filed under the name Gossypium raimondii (Peruvian cotton). RNAcentral's name for it is "miR8736 stem-loop (gra-MIR8736)". The record is from miRBase by way of RNAcentral. Lineage: Eukaryota; Viridiplantae; Streptophyta; Magnoliopsida; Malvales; Malvaceae.
CAAAGAGUCAUAUUCUUCUUUUGGCUUGUUUUAAAAUAGAAGUUUUUGAUUAAUGUGGAACGUGUUAAGAGAGGAAUAUGAUAUGAUA